RNAcentral lists this long non-coding RNA (3067 nucleotides) under Xyrichtys novacula (pearly razorfish). The record is from RNAcentral. Lineage: Eukaryota; Metazoa; Chordata; Actinopteri; Labriformes; Labridae.
CAAGAACAACAUGAAGAUGAGAUUAUAAAAAAGUCGAUCAGUGAUAAAAUACAAUGAAAUGAUUAGAAUAUAGUUUGUACGUACUAUAAUUUAAAUGUUUCAGAUGCAUUUUUAAGUGUGGGAUGUGCUAAGGAUGGUAACAUAGACUGUAUAAACAGUGUACCACUUGGCUCCGCCUUCUGUCAUUAUAUGAAUUUGAUGCCGAAUUGCUCUCGGUAUUUCGGAGAUGUUCUCCAUAAACCCCUAAUAACUUUUAAAAAUGGAGCUGCACAGAAAACAGAGGACUUGAGCACAAACCAGUCUUACAGUAGCUACAUGUCGACAUCGCAAGCAAGGGAGGAGAAAAAUUUAUAUUCUGUGUAAUAAAUUUCAAAAUUUUUUCCACAGCUCCAUAGGGCUUGCUGGAAGAGGCGGGAUUUAUGACCUAUACUGCAGCCCGUCACCAGAGGGUGCUGUUCUCAGGGUGGCAUCAUCAAGGGGGGAGACAGACGGUGUCCAUUCUAUAUACAAUCUGUGGAUGGUAAUUUCUUCUCACUCAAACAUAAGCCUCCAAGUAUGUUUUACCAUUUAAUCAUCUUACUGCGUCCAAGUAUGCAGGGUUUGAAAUAAUCUCACUCUGCAGAGUCUCCAAGUCGCCGCACUCAUGAGCUGCUGUGUGCAGUUUCCCCCCUGAGACUCGCCCUUUCACCGAUUGAACAAACUGGCUUUCGAGCCAAGUUAUUUUCUGAAGUACUAUGUUUACAUCGCCCCGCAACUUGUUCAGUACAACAGGCCUUACAUCCAUGAAGUCCAGAUGGUACAGACCCCUCAGCUCUGCUACACUCCAACUUCAUCUGUUGUUGAUGGCAGUACUGUCUGUCCCUGAUGUCCUCGAAUCAAGCUGUGAACAACUUUCUGUUUGUGUUCGAGUUAGCCCGACAGACCCUGAUGAUCUCCAACCCCACAAAGACCAGACCAGCUCCACUCAGAAGAAAAGAAAUGUGUUCAACACAAUGGACAACAUGAACAAACGUCUCAGAGCUCAGAAACACAUUUGUGUGCUGAGUUAGAGAUUUUUGAUUGAUUGUUUUUUCGCAUCUUUUGAAGCUGAAUCUGAGUGAACGAGCCCAACAAAGAAACCAGUUUCAGAGUCAAAAGAAAACCCUCCUCUGAGUUGUACAGUAGUGAAAAGCCGGUUGUUAUUUGUAAUCAUGAAGCUGGUGGCUGCAGCAGGAGUGAAUCCAGCAUUAUAAACUUUAUUUUCAAAUAUAUCAUGUAGGAGUUUCAGUGAUCCAGCAGCUGUUGAGUCUGUAGUAAGUAUGGAGCAUGGGUGAUAACCCGAGGCUGUUUAAUGUGCACACAGAGGUAGCAUCAGCUAGAGAGACUGUGUUUUUCUACCUCCUCUCAUACGCUCACACUAGUUCAAAACACACCAUAUAGAGUCUGCCAAAGGAAGAGGCUCCGAGGAGUCUUGAGUAAACAACAGGAUUAAACAAGCAAACAAAAAAUGGUGGUGAGUUUCUGUACGUGUGUGAGAGGAGGAUCUAUAUGAGCUGACAGAAAAACACAUCAGUUUACCGAAGGUUGGUGAUGAGUCAAAGUUUGUCCGUGUUUCAAAAAAGUAAGGGUUAGUGUUCGCCUGCAGGAUGUCAGGUAAGCUUAGAAAGCAAUGAUUUGAAUGAUGUACAAAUACAACAAUGGUCGUAUUUUUGUGGGCUAUAGGUCUUAUAAAACAUACACCAAGGUCGGUAUAGCUCAGAAUUCAGGCCUGUUGACAGAAGCAUGUUGUGCUGAAAGAAGCAGUUGUGUUGUUUGCAGGCGACAGGAGUCCCGGCUCGCCGUAUAUCCAACCCGCUGACAAAUAAAUAAGAGCGAAUGUUCCAUCGGAGGAAAAUAAAGCAGAAUUUCUGCUGACAUCUUGAAUUGAUUGCAGAGGAAACGAGCUGACCCCACCUGUGCUGCGCAGAGAUAAGAGAUUUACAAUGCAUGCAGGCCUCCGUCAGCAGCAGCACGUGGCUCCUCUCUUAUGUAAAACCGAGACAACAGAGAAGACUAAUGCUGCUUUGUCUGUGUGUUUCAUCCUCCAGAUUCAAGAGGGACUUCAGGAGCUGCUCAUUUAGUGUGUGAGAUGGAGUUUUUUUUCCAGAGGUGCUGUGGAAAAGGCCACCUGAGUGCAGGAAAGCGAGCAUCACUGAAGAUCAAAGCCACACCUCUGGGCUUUGUUACAUGUUCAGUUAACUUCCAGCGCUCCAGUUACAGCUCCCUCCCUCAGCUCUUUCUCCGCUCUCAGCAAAGAGAGAAUUAAACCCGACUCGUGUCAUCAUACGCAAUCCGUCUUCAUUUGUUAAUGCGUCAGGGCCGCUCGUCGCCGCAUUGUGAGCUGAAACCAAGCAACACGGCCUGCUUCACGGCUCGUCAUACCGCCAGGGCUGAGGUUCGGUCUUCAAGGUCCCUGACAGCGUCGCCUGUUUUCAGCUGUCGUCACACUGGAGACGAAGAGCAGAAAAUGAAGAUGAGUACCAUGAACUCGUACUAUUUUUUCCCCUUUGGCCUUCUUCUAGUACAUGAUGUAUGUUGAACUAUUUUUACAGACAAAUAAAGGUUGUCUUAAGAAACUCACCUAUUUACAACCUUUUUGCUUUUUAAGUCUGAUCAACAUCAAACUGCGAAAGAGCUUCUUCUCAAAAGCAAAAGCGAGAUCUCUUUGAUUCAAUUUGAUGCAAAAUGUAUACUGUGUUUAUCACUGCAGAGUUAAAGCUCCUGUUAGGAUAUUUUUAUGUUUAUGAAACAGUCUGGAAUUCAUAUCGAUACCUUUUUAUGAAUUACAAAAGCAAAGAAAACCAUUGAUCAUUCUUGUACUGUGUCUUUAGUUGCCUUAAGUCAGUGUGAGGGGAGGUGUCAGCCAAGCAGCGACAGAAGCAACCAUGUUUUCACAAUUUCUACAUAAAACAUUCACAAUAAAUGAUUGAUUUAACUUUAAAAAGUCAGCUGAAUGAGAUUUUGUGGGAGAAAUAAUGCUCAAACAUGUAAAAGACAUGAAAGUAAAAGUCUGCUCUGAGUACAGGAGGCGCCGAAAUUUAGACAAACC